UUUCCGUAGGUGAACCUGCGGAAGGAUCAUUACCGAAUUGUCAAACGGGUUGUUGCUGGUCUUCAAACGGGGACAUGUGCACGCUCUGUUUACACAUCCACUCACACCUGUGCACCCUCCGUAGUUCUAUGGUCUGGGGGACCCUGUCUUCCUGGCGUGGUUCUACGUCUUUACACACACUCCGUAAUAAAGUCUUAUGGAAUGUAUGCCGCGUCUAACGCAAUACAAUACAACUUUCAGCAACGGAUCUCUUGGCUCUC
RNAcentral lists this unclassified non-coding RNA (260 nucleotides) under plant metagenome. RNAcentral's name for it is "partial contains small subunit ribosomal RNA, internal transcribed spacer 1, and 5.8S ribosomal RNA". The record is from RNAcentral.